UGAUGACGAGACGCUAAGGCGUUGAAGCAGUGUAUGUCAGACUUCCAAGAAAAGCUCGCAAUGUCACAAAUAAAAAGUGCCUGUACCAUAACCGACACAGGUGGGUAGGUAGAGUAUACUAAGGGGCGCGAGAUAACUCUCUCUAAGGAACUCGGCAAAAUGACUCCGUAACUUCGGGAGAAGGAGUGCCUUAUUUAUAAGGUUGCAAUAACAAGAUCCAAGCAACUGUUUAUCAAAAACACAGGUCUCCGCUAAGUCGUAAGACGAUGUAUGGGGGCUGACGCCUGCCCAGUGCCAGAAGGUUAAAGAAGUAGGUUAGUGUAUGCGAAGCUGAUGACUGAAGCCCUGGUGAACGGCGGCCGUAACUAUAACGGUCCUAAGGUAGCGAAAUUCCUUGUCGGGUAAGUUCCGACCCGCACGAAAGGCGUAAUGAUUUGGAUACUGUCUCGGAGAGAGGCUCGGUGAAAUAGACUUGUCUGUGAAGAUGCGGACUACCUGCACCAGGACAGAAAGACCCUAUGAAGCUUUACUGUAACUUGAAAUUGGAAUUGGACUUUGCUUGCGCAGUAUAGGUGGGAAGCGUUGAAAAUAUUCUUGCGGGAGUAUUGGAGCUAUCAGUGAGAUACCACUCUUGUAAUGUUAGAUUUCUAACUUUGAACCAUAAUCUGGUCAAAGAACAGUUUCAGGUGGGCGGUUUGACUGGGGCGGUCGCCUCCCAAAUGGUAACGGAGGCGUACAAAGGUUUCCUCUGAACGGAUAGAAAUCGUAUCUAGAGUGUAAAGGCAUAAGGAAGCUUGACUGUGAGACCUACAAGUCGAGCAGGGACGAAAGUCGGUCUUAGUGAUCUGACGGUACUGAGUGGAAAGGCCGUCACUCAACGGAUAAAAGUUACUCUAGGAUAACAGGCUGAUCUCCCCCAAGAGUUCACAUCGACGGGGAGGUUUGGCACCUCGAUGUCGGCUCAUCGCAUCCUGGGGCGGUAGUACGUCCCAAGGGUUGGGCUGUUCGCCCAUGAAAGCGGUACGCGAGCUGGGUUCAGAACGUCGUGAGACAGUUCGGUCCAUAUCCGGUGUAGGCGCUAGAAUAUUGAGAGGAGCCUUCUUUAGUACGAGAGGACCGAGAAGGACACACCGCUGGUGUACCAGUUAUCGUGCCAACGGUAAACGCUGGGUAGCUAUGUGUGGAGUGGAUAACCGCUGUAAGCAUCUAAGUGGGAAGCCCACCUCGAGAUGAGUAUUCCC
This 1241-nucleotide ribosomal RNA is filed under the name metagenome. Its description in RNAcentral is "bacterial LSU rRNA". It matches the Rfam family "Bacterial large subunit ribosomal RNA", at positions 1564 to 2815 of the family's 2925-position model. The record is from RNAcentral.